UACGGAGGGUGCAAGCGUCAAUCGGAUUUAUUGGGCGUAAAGGGCGCGUAGGCGGAAUGCUAAGUCAGAUGUGAAAGCCCAGGGCUCAACCCUGGAACAGCAUUUGAAACUAGUAUUCUCGAGGGUAGGCGGAGAAAACGGAAUUCCACAAGUAGCGGUGAAAUGCGUAGAUAUGUGGAAGAACACCUGUGGCGAAGGCGGUUUUCUAGCUUAUACCUGACGCUGAUGCGCGAAAGCAAGGGGAUCAAACAGG
This 253-nucleotide ribosomal RNA is filed under the name uncultured bacterium. Its description in RNAcentral is "partial 16S ribosomal RNA". It matches the Rfam family "Bacterial small subunit ribosomal RNA", at positions 524 to 776 of the family's 1533-position model. The record is from RNAcentral.